ACUAAAUCAAGGAAACUUUCAAAUCAAUGAAUUAAGCUCUGAGGUUGAACGUGAACGAGAAGGCGAAUGUGGUGGGAAAUGACUAUUAAUAAGUAGUUAGGUAGCCUAAAGUAGUAUAUGUCUUCAUACAUACUAUUUUGUCUUGGACUCUUCCGCUGAAAUAGAAUUAUGUUCUAGAAAUUUAUGAAUUUAGUCUUGACGCUCUGAUUCUCUUUUGACUAUAUACUCAUUCGCCUUCGAAACUA
Long non-coding RNA from Salvia splendens (bonfire salvia), 245 nucleotides. RefSeq lists it as uncharacterized. The record is from RefSeq and is a predicted model, not a curated record. Lineage: Eukaryota; Viridiplantae; Streptophyta; Magnoliopsida; Lamiales; Lamiaceae. The transcript is spliced from 2 exons.